UCUCUCGUUCUUGUAUGUUGAAUCUCUAUAAUCUUGUUAUAUUGUUUGAUCUUUGGUUCCUUUCUAAAGUCUCUCUCCCUCUCUCUCUCCAAGAUAUAGAGAGAGGGUGGGGGCCGGGGGGCGUGGCCUGUUGAGUGGGUGAACCUUUUUAUAUUUUUCUUAUACUUUAAGUGAAUUGUCCUUGAACCAAUUGUAGUUUGCUUCUGGCAGUGAAUGUCCUAUGGUUCUAUGUCAAAAAAUUUAUAAGUCUCUUAUUUGAAAUGCUAAGCUUUUUAUGGAAUUUUAUGCUUUCUUGUAACUUCUGCUUACUUAAUUUGCUUUCUCCAUGACAAGUAAUCCUUGUUCUUUGCCUUUCUUCAAUGUCUUAUGCUAGACACUUCUUUAUUCUUCUGGUAUUUUCUUCUUUAAAAUAUAAACUUUUAUCAGAAAUAUUCAUUAUUGCAUGUAUUGAUCAGCUUUUCUAAAUAUUGUUUCCCUUAUUAAAUAUCCUACUUGACAAAUAUUUAUCUUCCCCACUAAUGUAGAGUUCUAUUAAGUGGUUGCUAAAAUUAGCAAGCCAUAAGAGUAGAGACAUGCAUUUUCUUGGUUUUUUCAUUAGAUGUGCUGGUGGGCAGACUGCCUAAUGAAGAAUGUUUCAACCUAUGAUACUAGAAAAACAUUAUACUCAUUAUCUUGGCAAUCAAGUGAGGUGGAAUCUUCUAUAGUUGCCUGAUUAUUGUCUAUUACAGGUUGUUGCAGGUGUCUCUUGGAUCAUGUUUCUCAUGUUGGACCAAGUGUCCUAAUCAUUGAUUGAACCAUAUAUGUGCUUUUAUUAACUCGAUAUGUUGUUGCUAUCAACUGCAGGAAAUGACAUCUGCAGAAGUUG
This 865-nucleotide unclassified non-coding RNA is filed under the name Hevea brasiliensis (rubber tree). The record is from RNAcentral. Lineage: Eukaryota; Viridiplantae; Streptophyta; Magnoliopsida; Malpighiales; Euphorbiaceae.